AGAGUUUGAUCAUGGCUCAGGAUAAACGCUGGCGGCGCACAUAAGACAUGCAAGUCGAACGAACUUAACCAUAAGUUCACUUUUGGAGCGGUUAGUGGCGGACUGGUGAGUAACACGUAAGCAACCUGCCUAACAGAGGGGAACAACAGUUAGAAAUGACUGCUAAUACCGCAUAUGCCUUGAGUAUCGCAUGGUACAAGAGGGAAAGGAGAAAUCCGCUGAUAGAUGGGCUUGCGUCUGAUUAGCUAGUUGGUGGGGUAAAGGCCUACCAAGGCGACGAUCAGUAGCCGGACUGAGAGGUUGAACGGCCACAUUGGGACUGAGAUACGGCCCAGACUCCUACGGGAGGCAGCAGUCGGGAAUAUUGCGCAAUGGAGGGAACUCUGACGCAGUGACGCCGCGUGCAGGAAGAAGGUUUUCGGAUUGUAAACUGCUUUAGACAGGGAAGAAGAAAGACAGUACCUGUAGAAUAAGCUCCGGCUAACUACGUGCCAGCAGCCGCGGUAAUACGUAGGGAGCGAGCGUUAUCCGGAUUUAUUGGGUGUAAAGGGUGCGUAGACGGGAAGGCAAGUUGGUUGUGAAAUCCCUCGGCUUAACUGAGGAACUGCAACCAAAACUAUCUUUCUUGAGUGCUGGAGAGGAAAGUGGAAUUCCUAGUGUAGCGGUGAAAUGCGUAGAUAUUAGGAGGAACACCAGUGGCGAAGGCGACUUUCUGGACAGUAACUGACGUUGAGGCACGAAAGUGUGGGGAGCAAACAGGAUUAGAUACCCUGGUAGUCCACACUGUAAACGAUGGAUAC
RNAcentral lists this ribosomal RNA (800 nucleotides) under uncultured bacterium. RNAcentral's name for it is "bacterial SSU rRNA". It matches the Rfam family "Bacterial small subunit ribosomal RNA", at positions 8 to 816 of the family's 1533-position model. The record is from RNAcentral.